Molecule: small nuclear RNA, 107 nt
Organism: Suncus etruscus (white-toothed pygmy shrew)
Lineage: Eukaryota; Metazoa; Chordata; Mammalia; Eulipotyphla; Soricidae
Source: RefSeq, a predicted model, not a curated record
GUGCUCGCUUCGGCAGCAUAUAUACUAAAAUUGGAACAAUACAGAGAAGAUUAGCAGGGACCCUGAGCAAGGAUGACAUGCAAAUUCGUGAAGCAGUCUAUAUUAAA